AUGGCAGAGAACACAGACAGAAACGAGGGAAGAGAGAGAAAUUGGGGACCCUGAAGAAAGGGGGCCAGCAGCAGCUGACCACAUACCGGUAGCCACUCCUGCAUAACGCUCUCCCCUCCUGUGACCAGCUGAGGACCUCAGGCUGCAGCGGAGCCAUGCCCAGAUACACGGUGCACGUACGUGGGGAAUGGCUGGCAGUGCCCUGCCAGGACGCGCAGCUCACUGUGGGCUGGCUGGGCCGGGAGGCUGUGAGGCGCUAUAUCAAGAAUAAGCCCGACAAUGGUGGCUUCACCUCCGUGGAUGACGCGCAAUUCCUUGUGCGCCGGUGCAAGGGCCUGGGCCUGCUGGACAACGAGGACCGGCUCGAGGUGGCCCUAGAGGAC
Molecule: long non-coding RNA, 383 nt
Filed under: Pan troglodytes (chimpanzee)
Lineage: Eukaryota; Metazoa; Chordata; Mammalia; Primates; Hominidae
Description: long non-coding RNA NONPTRT004041
Source: RNAcentral